Molecule: long non-coding RNA, 553 nt
Filed under: Selaginella moellendorffii
Lineage: Eukaryota; Viridiplantae; Streptophyta; Lycopodiopsida; Selaginellales; Selaginellaceae
Description: long non-coding RNA (SMOE_LNC000218)
Source: RNAcentral
GAUUGUGUCAAGGGAGCUCCGCUUCUAUUUACUUGCAACUGGCCUCAUCCUGUGCUGCGUUUGUUACAAGCUAGUUAGUCGUCUGUGCCAUUGCAGCCCGCUUAAAUCACUAACCUGAUACCAAUUCUUCGCAAAUACUCGUGUUGUCUACGCAAAGCUCGAGGAGUCAAAGGUGGACGAUAGUCUUUAGUUCUAUCACCUGCCGCAAGACAACACAAAGCAAACAGUGUGUGAGCCACAAGCUUGGAGCAUGGCGAGAAAACAAAUCUCACACCUGGGCUGCGAGUACACAGUGGUGAGUUUGGUGGAAAAGCCUCAGUCCUCGGCCGUGCCGUUCGCCUGGAGCACCUAAUCAAAACUAAUACUUUAACACACAAGAAAAAGUAAAGGAAGAACAACAUCGAAAAGUCUCACCUUUUCCAAGUGUUGGCCUCAUAAAAUGAAUUUCACCCUCCACACCCACCGCGAGCAAUUGCACGUCGAUCGAUUCUUUAAACCUCGUCGCGAAAUCCCACUCCAGCGCGAGGUAGCCGAUGGGAUUCCAGGCAGCUAC